GACGUAGGGCGCAAGCGUUGUCCGGAUUUAUUGGGCGUAAAGAGCUCGUAGGCGGCUUGUUGCGUCGUCCGUGAAAACCCGCAGCUCAACUGCGGGCUUGCGGACGAUACGGGCAGGCUGGAGUUCGGUAGGGGAGACUGGAAUUCCUGGUGUAGCGGUGAAAUGCGCAGAUAUCAGGAGGAACACCGGUGGCGAAGGCGGGUCUCUGGGCCGAUACUGACGCUGAGGAGCGAAAGCGCGGGGAGCGAACAGG
Molecule: ribosomal RNA, 253 nt
Filed under: uncultured bacterium
Lineage: Bacteria
Description: partial 16S ribosomal RNA
Rfam family: Bacterial small subunit ribosomal RNA
Source: RNAcentral